Molecule: ribosomal RNA, 772 nt
Filed under: uncultured bacterium
Lineage: Bacteria
Description: bacterial SSU rRNA
Rfam family: Bacterial small subunit ribosomal RNA
Source: RNAcentral
AGAGUUUGAUCCUGGCUCAGGACGAACGCUGGCGGCGUGCUUAACACAUGCAAGUCGAGCGGAAAGGCCCUUCGGGGUACUCGAGCGGCGAACGGGUGAGUAACACGUGAGCAACCUGCCCCCAUGCUUUGGGAUAACCCUCGGAAACGGGGGCUAAUACCGAAUAUUCACUACUGAUCGCAUGUUUGGUGGUGGAAAGUUUUUCGGCGUGGGAUGGGCUCGCGGCCUAUCAGCUUGUUGGUGGGGUAAUGGCCUACCAAGGCGACGACGGGUAGCCGGCCUGAGAGGGCGACCGGCCACACUGGGACUGAGACACGGCCCAGACUCCUACGGGAGGCAGCAGUGGGGAAUAUUGCACAAUGGGCGGAAGCCUGAUGCAGCGACGCCGCGUGAGGGAUGACGGCCUUCGGGUUGUAAACCUCUUUCAGCAGGGACGAAGCGCAAGUGACGGUACCUGCAGAAGAAGCGCCGGCCAACUACGUGCCAGCAGCCGCGGUAAGACGUAGGGCGCGAGCGUUGUCCGGAAUUAUUGGGCGUAAAGAGCUCGUAGGCGGCUUGUCGCGUCGACUGUGAAAACCCGCGGCUCGACCGCGGGCCUGCAGUCGAUACGGGCAGGCUAGAGUUCGGUAGGGGAGACUGGAAUUCCUGGUGUAGCGGUGAAAUGCGCAGAUAUCAGGAGGAACACCGAUGGCGAAGGCAGGUCUCUGGGCCGAUACUGACGCUGAGGAGCGAAAGCGUGGGGAGCGAACAGGAUUAGAUACCCUAGUAGUCC